ACUCCUACGGGAGGCAGCAGUGGGGAAUAUUGCACAAUGGGCGCAAGCCUGAUGCAGCCAUGCCGCGUGUGUGAAGAAGGCCUUCGGGUUGUAAAGCACUUUCAGUUGUGAGGAAGGUGGUGUCGUUAAUAGCGGCAUCAUUUGACGUUAGCAACAGAAGAAGCACCGGCUAACCUCCGUGCCAGCAGCCGCGGUAAUACGGAGGGUGCGAGCGUUAAUCGGAAUUACUGGGCGUAAAGCGCAUGCAGGUGGUUUGUUAAGUCAGAUGUGAAAGCCCGGGGCUCAACCUCGGAACUGCAUUUGAAACUGGCAGACUAGAGUACUGUAGAGGGGGGUAGAAUUUCAGGUGUAGCGGUGAAAUGCGUAGAGAUCUGAAGGAAUACCGGUGGCGAAGGCGGCCCCCUGGACAGACUACUGACACU
Molecule: ribosomal RNA, 422 nt
Filed under: uncultured bacterium
Lineage: Bacteria
Description: bacterial SSU rRNA
Rfam family: Bacterial small subunit ribosomal RNA
Source: RNAcentral